AUGAGUCACAAUGUAUCAUUGUGGUACACUUUCGGUGGCGGCACCAAACUCAUCGUUGACUUGGGUGUGGUACGUCCCUUCCUGACCGUCCUACUCCCCUCCAGUGAGGAGCAGGACCAGGGGAAUGUGGCCCUAGUGUGCCUGGCCAACAGGGGCUUCCCGGAGGGCUGGAAGCUGGGUUGGAGGCUGGGGGCCGGGGGGGCCUUGCAGGGCAGCCAGAGCCUGGAGGUCCUGGAGAAGGACGGUCACUACAGCUGGAGCAGCAGCCUCACCCUCCCCACUGACCAGUGGAGGAAGGCUGGCUCAGUCACCUGUGAGGCCACCCUAAAGGACCAGACCCCCGUCACUCACACACUGGAGCCACACCACUGCUCCCAGUAGACACCCUGUACACAGA
This is a non-coding RNA of Salvelinus namaycush (lake trout), 397 nucleotides long. Lineage: Eukaryota; Metazoa; Chordata; Actinopteri; Salmoniformes; Salmonidae. The record is from the annotation of a RefSeq genome assembly.